This 481-nucleotide ribosomal RNA is filed under the name uncultured bacterium. RNAcentral's name for it is "partial 16S ribosomal RNA". It matches the Rfam family "Bacterial small subunit ribosomal RNA", at positions 28 to 507 of the family's 1533-position model. The record is from RNAcentral.
GAUGAACGCUGGCGGCGUGCUUAACACAUGCAAGUCGAACGAAGCAUUUGCGACAGAUUUUUUCGGAAUGAAGUUGCUUAUGACUGAGUGGCGGACGGGUGAGUAACGCGUGGGUAACCUGCCUUGUACCGGGGGAUAGCAGCUGGAAACGGCUGGUAAUACCGCAUAAGCGCACAAUGUUGCAUGACAUGGUGUGAAAAACUCCGGUGGUAUAAGAUGGACCCGCGUCUGAUUAGCUAGUUGGUGAGAUAACAGCCCACCAAGGCGACGAUCAGUAGCCGACCUGAGAGGGUGACCGGCCACAUUGGGACUGAGACACGGCCCAGACUCCUACGGGAAGCAGCAGUGGGGAAUAUUGCACAAUGGAGGAAACUCUGAUGCAGCGACGCCGCGUGAGUGAAGAAGUAAUUCGUUAUGUAAAGCUCUAUCAGCAGGGAAGAUAGUGACGGUACCUGACUAAGAAGCUCCGGCUAAAUACGUG